GUUCCCUUCGCCUCAUAAUCUGCC
Molecule: small RNA, 24 nt
Filed under: Arabidopsis thaliana (thale cress)
Lineage: Eukaryota; Viridiplantae; Streptophyta; Magnoliopsida; Brassicales; Brassicaceae
Description: ATSL287240
Source: RNAcentral